GCUUUCAGGCUUCCUUUUUACACUUUCGGUACCGUAUUAUACCUCAUUUUAAAAACACUGUUCAUCUUUCUUCUCUAUUGAACAAAAUAGAAUAGAAGCAAGGCAGAGGCACUAGAAUGGCUCUGAUACCAAAUGAUAAAAUUUAAACAGGUAUCGAUCUAAACAUGCAAAUCAAUUUAAAUGACAUAUUCAGAUCAAACAGCGGAAACUAAAUAUUACGAGCGUACCUCCAGUCAUUGCAGAUCGAACGCGAAGCAACGCAUACACGAAUCCGAAGGCAACUUUGUUCUUUCAGACCCUUACUCAUUCUGAAUAGAUGAUGUAUUUUUCUGAAUAGAGAAGUAGGUUUGGUGAUACAAAGCUUAGAGCACCCCAUUUUAUUUAUAGAGUUUGCCCAUCACAGAGCUCAACCAAUUUGUUAUCAGAAUGUGGGCUUGAGGAUAGGGACGUGAGUUUGUUACUGAACGUUGCAGAGAUAAGGGUUGAACGUGGAAGGAAAAUGGACCAGAUUCAGAAAACAAAAUUCUCCAAAAAUUGCAAUGGGAAAAAAAUAAAAACAGAACGUGGAACGUGGGUCAUUCCAUCAUAAGACACUACAAAAGGAGUUCUUACCUAGCUUCUUAGAGUCUUAGUUAGGUUGUCAUGGUCUUUCCAUAACUAGAAGUGUUGUUGCUACCGCAGAAGUUGCUAGAGUUGAUGCAAAUUGUUCAACUUUCUAUUUGGUUCAUUGUUCCUUGGCAAUGUUCACUAUUGGUAAUGCCUUUUCUUUGUUAUUAAUAAAUCUAUGAAUGGUAACCUUUUUGCUAUUAGUUAUUCAUAUUUCCUGAAAUUUAAUGUCUUCGAUUGGCCAUCUAGUAUAGCAUUGUGGGGUCUGAAGCUCAAAAGCAAAAGUAUUUAUCUUCUUUGGCUCAAAUGAAAACUAUAGCAUGUUAGGCUUUGACUGAACCUGAUUAUGGAGGUGAUGCCAGUGCUUUGAAGACCACAGCGACAAAGCAUUCAUUUAUUGUGUAAAGUCCAAUGCGUUUGUUUGUUAAGUUCAACUGUUGGAGAAGAAGUUGCGACAUUCAUGAUGGACUUGAAGAGAAGGCUCGAGUUAAGUCCAAGCCUCCCGGACCCAAUGCUGAACCUGAACUACUCUUGUGCAUUGUCAUUGUUUGGAU
Molecule: long non-coding RNA, 1160 nt
Organism: Glycine soja
Lineage: Eukaryota; Viridiplantae; Streptophyta; Magnoliopsida; Fabales; Fabaceae
Exons: 3
Source: RefSeq, a predicted model, not a curated record